This 864-nucleotide long non-coding RNA is filed under the name Musa acuminata (dwarf banana). RNAcentral describes it as "long non-coding RNA (MACU_LNC000295)". The record is from RNAcentral. Lineage: Eukaryota; Viridiplantae; Streptophyta; Magnoliopsida; Zingiberales; Musaceae.
AGAAACAGAUAGUGGUAGAUCAUCAGAGACAAGAUUCAGAAACAAGAACUAGUGAUUGCUUGCUAGCUCGGAACAUAUAGAUUACCUCCUCGUCCCUGUGCAUGACGUUCAUCAGUCCAUCGUAGUGAUUGUUGUGGUGAGCGCACUUGGGCGCGUUCACCGGGAGCGUCAGGUAGUUCGGGCCGAGCCGGUACCGCUGCGUGUCGCCAUACGCGAACACCCUGCACUGAAGCAUCUUGUCGUCGGAGUAGUAGAUGCCGGGCACCACCAGACCCGGGCCGAACGCUAGCUGCUCGUUCUCCGAGAAGAAGUUGUCGAUGUUGCGGUUCAAGACCAGCCUUCCCACCGGCUGCAGCGGCAGAAGGUCUUCGGGCCAUGUCUUGGUGUCAUCGAGCGGGUCGAAGUCGUAGCGGUCCUCGGUAUCCGGAUCCAUGACUUGAACGAAGAGCUUCCACUCCGGGUAGUUUCCGGCGGCAAUGGAGUCGUACAGAUCCUGGGUGGCGUGGCUGUGGUUCUUGCCGCCCACCACGAUCGCUUCGUCUUCCAGCAAGCACUUGACUCCACACGUGGGCUUCCAGUGGAACUUCACGUAGUUGACCUUCCCUUCCUUGUUGACGAAGGUGUAGGUGUUGACGCCGAAGCCUUCCAUGUGGCGGUAGUCGGACGGGACGCCCACGUCGUCGAAGAGGAAGAAGAAGGUGUGGAGGCUCUCGGGGUGGUGCGAGAGGAAGUCGAACACCCUCCAGUACUCCUGGACGUGGGACUUGGGGUUUGGCUUGAAGGCGUGGAUCACGUCCGGGAACUUGAUGCCGUCGCGGAUGAAGAACACGGGGAAGUUGUUCCCCAGCAGAUCCCAGUUGCCCU